Molecule: small RNA, 1058 nt
Filed under: Oryza sativa Japonica Group (Japanese rice)
Lineage: Eukaryota; Viridiplantae; Streptophyta; Magnoliopsida; Poales; Poaceae
Description: sRNA Os04g0152200
Source: RNAcentral
GCGUGCCUAAGCCAAAUCCACCGGGCAGCACACAGAGAGGCAAACGUCCAACUUGACCCUAGUGCGCGCAACAGUGAGGUCACCUCUAGGAGGAAAGCACCGAGUAGCAAAACAUAUGUAAUAGAAACAUCAACUAUGUUUUGACCACCUCUACCAUUGAAUUGGAAGAUGAGUAAUGAACCGGCCGUGGCAAGAGGCGAGACGAGUCGGAUGCAAUAUCCAAUCCAGUUAUGUAUCACACUCACCUUGGUGUACAACAUAUCGUACAUGAGGGAGAGAGGGAGAGCUCAAUUUCCGUCACUGCAUACUUCUGUUCGUCCGUAAGGCCACGAAGUAUUGCGGCGUCACUGGCACGGGUAUCCCUAGUAUUGUCAUAUGAAGAAUCAUCGACAACCGCAUACUUGCAAAUGUGGAACAGGGCGUGAGCAUUACAGAUCAGGAAUUCCUCUUCAUUAGCCUCCCUCCUAAAGUGCCCUUCAUUACUGAAGCUCAUCUGGUGGGGCUUAUACUCAAUGUGGGAAUGGCACUUGGUAUGCGGCUCCUUCUUGAGUGUACUCCGGAUGGUGUCGAUGUUGCCGGACAUGAGUGCCCAUGUCCUUUCCCCAUACUUGACAACACCUACAACAAACAUCAAAAUGGUGGCGAGUAGGAGUGGGCUUCCACUGCCCCUGAAUUGUUUGUAGAGGACAUAUGCAGCUCCCAAGACCUGCACAACGACAGUGAGAAGGUGUCGGAGCCAGAGCUUACUGUCCUCGAGGGAAUAUGCGGUGAUGUUGUCCGGGCCACCAAGGUGCAACAGAAGGAAUGGUGCCCAGAAUGCCACCAGCUGGUGCUCACGCGGUGUGCCACCGAGGGAGAGGUGGCAGAUGGCGUAGAUCGCAGUGGAGUCAGCCAGCUGGUAUGCCAACCACAGGAGAAGCCUCAGCACAGCUGGAGCUUCUCGGCGACGAAUCCCGGCAAGCUGGAGUAGGAUGAUCUGCAGAGUGAAGCUCAAGAGCACCAGGAUCUGGGUCGCCCACUCGUUCCAAAGAUCCAUUGGCCCACGUGCCAUUGCUGCU